UUGACCUCAAAUCAGGUAGGACUACCCGCUGAACUUAAGCAUAUCAAUAAGCGGAGGAAAAGAAACUAACAAGGAUUCCCCUAGUAACUGCGAGUGAAGCGGGAAAAGCUCAAAUUUAAAAUCUGGCAGUCUUUUAGCUGUCCGAGUUGUAAUCUAGAGAAGUGCUUUCCGCGUUGGACCGUGUACAAGUCUCUUGGAACAGAGCGUCAUAGAGGGUGAGAAUCCCGUCUUUGACACGGACUACCAGUGCUUUUGUGAUGUGCUCUC
This 267-nucleotide ribosomal RNA is filed under the name Hygrophorus pudorinus. RNAcentral's name for it is "partial 28S ribosomal RNA". It matches the Rfam family "Eukaryotic large subunit ribosomal RNA", at positions 1 to 258 of the family's 3401-position model. The record is from RNAcentral. Lineage: Eukaryota; Fungi; Basidiomycota; Agaricomycetes; Agaricales; Hygrophoraceae.